UUACUCUGGUUUCCCUUCAAAACGUAUAAAUCUUUCGCCUUUUACUAAAGAUUUCCGUGGAGGGGAACACUCAAAUGAUUCUAUCUCUAUUUUUGAAGCUCUUGGUCUAUCCAAGGGU
Molecule: small nuclear RNA, 118 nt
Filed under: Zerene cesonia (dogface butterfly)
Lineage: Eukaryota; Metazoa; Arthropoda; Insecta; Lepidoptera; Pieridae
Description: U5 spliceosomal RNA
Rfam family: U5 spliceosomal RNA
About the family: U5 RNA is a component of both types of known spliceosome.
Source: RNAcentral